Long non-coding RNA from Triticum aestivum (bread wheat), 376 nucleotides. RefSeq lists it as uncharacterized. The record is from RefSeq and is a predicted model, not a curated record. NCBI's taxonomy places the organism in Eukaryota, Viridiplantae, Streptophyta, Magnoliopsida, Poales, Poaceae. The transcript has 4 exons.
CCGGCGCAUCUCCGGCGGCCCAGAUGCAGAUGGAGCACGCCAUGGGAAUUCCCCAUCCACCAUGGUCGCCGCCAUCAAGGGCUUCUUCACGGAGAUGUGGAGGACGCCAUGGACCUGCAGCUCCAAGGUCAACAGGGAGGAACCCUAGCCAUAAGCACCUCCUCGGAUGACGCCUCUGCUACACCAAGAUAGAGAUAUAUAUGAUAUCUACAUGGCUGCUAUGCUACUUUUUUUGUGUGAUGAAUCAUUGUGAGUUUCGAAGAAACUUCCAAUGUUACCUCCGCCAAGUUUGCCGGCAGAAGAAGCACAUCCAUUGAGCCGUUCAAUGUCUCCUGCGGUGGCUACACCAGAGGUAUGUAUCCCCUUGAAAGCUAAU